RNAcentral lists this long non-coding RNA (518 nucleotides) under Phoenix dactylifera (date palm). RNAcentral describes it as "long non-coding RNA (PDAC_LNC005010)". The record is from RNAcentral. Lineage: Eukaryota; Viridiplantae; Streptophyta; Magnoliopsida; Arecales; Arecaceae.
GCAUGUCUCGACGCCUGAGUUUCCUAUUCAUGUGAUAACACUGGAAUGGUAGAAAGAGCUAGGAACAGGCAGAGGCUAAGAGAGGAGAAUGUUGGAAGUAAGAAGGCCAGAUCCCACAUUCCAAAACUAUUUGAAACAAGAAUUCACCUUCUAAUUGAACUCCAUUCAACAAAAAAAUUGAGCAUUUGGAAUGCAUGGCCUAUACCCAAUCCUGUAUGCUUCUCUCCCAUCUCUUACUAUUUUCAGACAUUCACCAAUUGUCUGGGGAUAGCUGAGAUCCAGAACUUGGGCACCAGAAGAGGCCCUACUUGUAAUUUGCAGAAUUGUGUAUACUGCAAUCAAUGAAGAGAAGCAAAAGCUGAAAUUUGUAAACCAAGAUAAUUCAACAAGGACGUUUCUAUCAGCAGGCUCUUCGGCCAAAGAUGUUUCUAUUGAUAAGCCAGGUGGUUGGCCUCGAGGUCUGAAAUUUCAAAUUCCAAAAUUCCGUGAGUGUGAACUUGUGGAACCACACCUCAAAC